Molecule: ribosomal RNA, 497 nt
Filed under: uncultured bacterium
Lineage: Bacteria
Description: partial 16S ribosomal RNA
Rfam family: Bacterial small subunit ribosomal RNA
Source: RNAcentral
GACGAACGCUGGCGGCGUGCCUAAUACAUGCAAGUAGAACGCUGAAGAGAGGAGCUUGCUCUUCUUGGAUGAGUUGCGAACGGGUGAGUAACGCGUAGGUAACCUGCCUUGUAGCGGGGGAUAACUAUUGGAAACGAUAGCUAAUACCGCAUAACAAUGGAUGACACAUGUCAUUUAUUUGAAAGGGGCAAUUGCUCCACUACAAGAUGGACCUGCGUUGUAUUAGCUAGUAGGUGAGGUAAUGGCUCACCUAGGCGACGAUACAUAGCCGACCUGAGAGGGUGAUCGGCCACACUGGGACUGAGACACGGCCCAGACUCCUACGGGAGGCAGCAGUAGGGAAUCUUCGGCAAUGGGGGCAACCCUGACCGAGCAACGCCGCGUGAGUGAAGAAGGUUUUCGGAUCGUAAAGCUCUGUUGUAAGUCAAGAACGGGUGUGAGAGUGGAAAGUUCACGCUGUGACGGUAGCUUACCAGAAAGGGACGGCUAACUACGUG